UAUUCUCGUAAAGGAUUUGGACGAGACGUGUACGCUCGAAGACGUCAGAAAGUCGGAAUGGUAUUGCAAAGCGAAUAAGGGAUGAAUCGAGUAAGCGAAGCGAUGUGGCGAAUAGAGUAUAGCUAGAGAUGGUCUAGAGAUUACGAGAUGCAUAGAUUGUGAAAGUGGAAAGAUGAGAAUGAGCUGUGAGACGGGAGUCAGAUUUAAGGCAAGUAUCCUACACCCUGCUUUUGGAUAUAUUGCAUAUUCUGAUCCAUUCUUUUCUAUAUGUGUUGCAAGUAUCCUAAACCUUUCUCUUGGAUAUAUUGCAAAUAUUCUGAUCCAUUCCUUUGGUAUAUGUUUCAAGUAUUCAUACCUUUCUUUUCAAUGUUCGAAAGUGCGAGUAUUCUGACCCAUUCUUUCUAAUCUUCAAGUUUCUAAAGAAUUUCCGUUUUACAAAUUAAUUCGAAGUUCAGAUUGUCAUUGAAGCAUGUGUUGCUCAGUGAUAGUUAGAGCUUUGAAUGAAUUGGGAUCUUCUUGAUUAUUCAACCCGCCAUUGUCAUGCUGGUUUAGCAGGCUAAAUUCAGUUGCUUAGCCGAUAAUGGAGGAUACUGAAU
This 596-nucleotide long non-coding RNA is filed under the name Daucus carota (carrot). Its description in RNAcentral is "long non-coding RNA (DCAR_LNC000826)". The record is from RNAcentral. Lineage: Eukaryota; Viridiplantae; Streptophyta; Magnoliopsida; Apiales; Apiaceae.